AUGGCUCAGAAUGAACGCUGGCGGCAUGGCUAAGACAUGCAAGUCGAACGGACUAUGUUGAAGAGUAAUCCGAUUCAUAGUUAGUGGCGAAAGGGUGAGGAAUAGACAGGUAACGUACCUUUGGCUUCGGAAUAGCCCAUCGAAAGGUGGGGUAAUGCCGGAUGAUGUCAUCCGUGUAAUGCGGGUGACCAAAGAUUUAUCGGCCGAAGAGCGGCCUGUUUCCUAUCAGCUUGUUGGUGAGGUAAUGGCUCACCAAGGCGACGACGGGUAGCGGGACUGAGAGGUUGGCCCGCCACAUCGGGACUGAGACACUGCCCGGACCCCCACGGAGGGCUGCAGUAACGAAUAUUGGGCAAUGGGCGAAAGCCUGACCCAGCAAUGCCGCGUGUAGGAUGAAGCUUUUCGGAGUGUAAACUACUUUCAGGGAUUAGAAAGCUACGGUUGAUCAAUCCCAGAAGAAGUCACGGCUAACUUCGUGCCAGCAGCCGCGGUAAUACGAAGGUGGCAAGCGUUAUUCGAAAUCACUGGGCUUAAAGGGUGCGUAGGCGGAACUGUAAGUGUCUUGUGAAAUCCCUCGGCUUAACCGAGGAAUGGCUUGGCAAACUACAGUUCUUGAGGCAAGUAGGGGUGUGUGGAACUCUUGGUGGAGCGGUGGAAUGCGUAGAUAUCAAGAGGAACGCCGAAGGUGAAGACAGCACACUGGACUUGUACUGACGCUGAGGCACGAAAGCGUGGGGAGCAAACAGGAUUAGAUACCCUGGUAGUCC
This 767-nucleotide ribosomal RNA is filed under the name uncultured Planctomycetales bacterium. RNAcentral describes it as "bacterial SSU rRNA". It matches the Rfam family "Bacterial small subunit ribosomal RNA", at positions 19 to 796 of the family's 1533-position model. Lineage: Bacteria; Pseudomonadati; Planctomycetota; Planctomycetia; Planctomycetales. The record is from RNAcentral.